UGGCGCACGGGUGCGUAACGCGUAUGCAACCUACCUUUAACUGGAGCAUAGCCCGAAGAAAUUCGGAUUAAUACUCCAUAACAUAUGUUAAUCGCAUGAUCGACAUAUUAAAGCUUUGGCGGUUAGAGAUGGGCAUGCGUGACAUUAGCUAGUUGGUAAGGUAACAGCUUACCAAGGCUACGAUGUCUAGGGGGCCUGAGAGGGUUAUCCCCCACACUGGUACUGAGACACGGACCAGACUCCUACGGGAGGCAGCAG
RNAcentral lists this ribosomal RNA (258 nucleotides) under Symbiodinium sp. clade D. RNAcentral describes it as "partial Bacterial small subunit ribosomal RNA". It matches the Rfam family "Bacterial small subunit ribosomal RNA", at positions 96 to 354 of the family's 1533-position model. Lineage: Eukaryota; Dinophyceae; Suessiales; Symbiodiniaceae. The record is from RNAcentral.